RNAcentral lists this ribosomal RNA (253 nucleotides) under uncultured bacterium. Its description in RNAcentral is "partial 16S ribosomal RNA". It matches the Rfam family "Bacterial small subunit ribosomal RNA", at positions 524 to 776 of the family's 1533-position model. The record is from RNAcentral.
UACAGAGGUCUCAAGCGUUGUUCGGAUUCAUUGGGCGUAAAGGGUGCGUAGGCGGCGCGGUAAGUCGGGUGUGAAAUCUUGGAGCUUAACUCCGAAACUGCAUUCGAUACUGCCGUGCUUGAGGACUGGAGAGGAGACUGGAAUUUACGGUGUAGCGGUUAAAUGCGUAGAUAUCGUAAGGAAGACCAGUGGCGAAGGCGGGUCUCUGGACAGUUCCUGACGCUGAGCCACGAAGGCCAGGGGAGCAAACGGG